RNAcentral lists this ribosomal RNA (569 nucleotides) under uncultured Alphaproteobacteria bacterium. Its description in RNAcentral is "bacterial SSU rRNA". It matches the Rfam family "Bacterial small subunit ribosomal RNA", at positions 329 to 915 of the family's 1533-position model. Lineage: Bacteria; Pseudomonadati; Pseudomonadota; Alphaproteobacteria. The record is from RNAcentral.
CAGGUCACUCCUACGGGAGGCAGCAGUGGGGAAUAUUGGACAAUGGGGGCAACCCUGAUCCAGCAAUGCCGCGUGAGUGAGGAAGGCCUUAGGGUUGUAAAGCUCUUUCGCACGCGACGAUGAUGACGGUAGCGUGAGAAGAAGCCCCGGCUAACUUCGUGCCAGCAGCCGCGGUAAUACGAAGGGGGCUAGCGUUGUUCGGAAUCACUGGGCGUAAAGGGCGCGUAGGCGGCGCGACAAGUCAGGCGUGAAAGCCCCGGGCUCAACCCGGGAAUUGCGCUUGAUACUGUCGUGCUUGAGGCCGGGAGAGGAUGGCGGAAUUCCCAGUGUAGAGGUGAAAUUCGUAGAUAUUGGGAAGAACACCGGUGGCGAAGGCGGCCAUCUGGACCGGUUCUGACGCUGGGGCGCGAAAGCGUGGGGAGCAAACAGGAUUAGAUACCCUGGUAGUCCACGCCGUAAACUAUGCGUGUUGGACGUUGGCGAGCCUAGCUCGUCGGUGUCGCAGCUAACGCGUUAAACACGCCGCCUGGGGAGUACGGCCGCAAGGUUAAAACUCAAAGGAAUUGACG